AUAUAAAGAAUUUAAUAAUAAUGAACAAAAAAAAAUGUGUUUAAUGUGCUGAAAUUAUUGUGUAUCGGUUCAGUCGGUCGUAGGUGGUCUAGCUAGUAAGGUUGAUUGGGGAUUGAGGAAUUUAUUGAAACAGAAAUUGUAGAAUAUGGGACAGUCGGAUGGAGUCGUGCCGGAAAGAGCGAGCUGGAACAAACCCUUGGAAUUCGUCCUUUCGUGCCUCGGAUACGCGGUUGGCCUUGGAAAUGUCUGGAGGUUUCCCUACCUCUGCUACCAGAAUGGAGGAGGUGCGUUUCUGGUUGCAUACUUCAUCAUGCUGAUCGUGAUGGGAUUGCCGAUUUUCCUGCUGGAAUUGGCUUUAGGUCAGUACACGGGUUUGGGACCUGACGAAGCCUUCACCAGGAUCGCACCGAUCUUCAACGGAAUUGGAUACUGCACGUUGGUGGUGAUCACGUUGGUCACCAUUUACUAUAUGGUGAUCAUAGCUUGGACGAUCUUUUAUUUCUUCGCUUCGUUCACUUCGGAGCUGGAUUUCGGGUCUUGCAGUAACGAAUUCAAUACUAAUGGGUGUUACAGUGUGGUUGAGGAUUCGAAAUGCGGAGAAACCGAGACGUUCUACAACAAGACUUGCACGUCGAUCGAAGUGAUUUGCGCUAAUAACGGUGGUUAUUUGAAUAAGACUUAUUGCAAGGGUGAAGGGGACGUUCCGGAGCAUCUCAGCAAAGUCAUCAAGGACAGACAGUUGGCCACGUACGAGUAUUUCAACAAUUACGUGCUGGGCGCGGACGAGGCGAGCUGGGAGAACUUCGGCGGGUUACGGUGGCAGCUCGUGUUGUGCCUAUUGUUGGCUUGGAUAAUCGGAUAUAUGUGCGUCGUGAGGGGCGUGAAGAGCUCCGGCAAAGCCGUCUACUUCACCGCAUUAUUUCCGUACGUCAUGCUAACCGUCCUGGUUAUCGUCGGAUGUACUCUGGAUGGAGCCGUCGACGGCAUCCUUCUGUACAUCAAACCGGAUUGGGAGAAGCUUUUGGAGGCGAAGAUGUGGGGAAACGCAGCGUCACAAACGUUCUACUCCUUUGGAAUCGGUUGCGGAUCUCUGAUCACCCUAUCGUCUUACAGCGAUUUCAAGAAUAACUGCCUGAAAGAUGCCAUCAUCGUUGCGGCCGCGAACGCUUUCACCUCGAUCUACGCAGGAUUCGCGAUAUUCUCCAUGCUCGGGUUCUUGGCCUUCAAACUCGACGUUCCUGUCGCCGAAGUCGCGACGGACGGACCCGGUCUAGCUUUCGUCGCUUAUCCAGAAGCUCUGCUGCAAUUACCUGUACCGACGGUCUGGGCUUUGAUUUUCUUCUUCAUGCUCUUCAUCUUAGGCUUGGGCAGUCAAUUCGCUGGAAUCGAGGCAAUCAGUACCACGAUCUUGGAUAGAUGGCCGCACCUCCGUAAACGCCAAGUCUUCGUCACGCUCGGCAUAUGCAUCUGCUGUUUCCUACUGGGAUUACCCAUGUGCUGCAACGGAGGCAUCUUCAUCUUCACCUUGAUGGAAUGGAACACGGCUUCGUGGGCCAUCCUCUUGAUCGGUUUAGCCGAAGUCGGAUCCGUCGCCUGGGCGUACGGCUGCAACAGAUUCCUGGACAACAUCGCCGAGAUGGGAAUGGAGCUCCGCAAACCGGCGAGAUGGUUCUGGUGGACUUGCUGGUGCAUCAUCACACCAAUCGCUUUACUAGGCGUUUUCGUCUUCCAAAUGACAACGUUCACCUUAGCCUCGUACGAGGACUACACGUUUCCACCUUGGGCCGACUCGCUGGGAAUCAUGAUGGGCGUAGCCACCUUAAUCCCCUUACCUUUGUUCGCAAUCUACGCCCUAUUCAAAUACAAAUACUCCGGAUGGGAAUGGUUCCAACCUACAGACGCCUGGGGACCGCAAGCCUCCAAAUCCGAAAGCAACCAAACUUUGAGCGACACCUUGGAAGCGCCGAUCGAAAAAUUUUAAACGAAUACUCAAAUUCUUCCCAAACCAAUUUAAAAAAACUAUAUUUAUUUAUCUGUUUUGAAAUGUACAAUUAUUCUGUAUAUUUGUAAAUACAAUAUUUUUGUUUGUUUCUUUUUCUAUAUACGAAGUAGAAGAACGUCUCUCAACUUCAUUAAAUUUUUAAUUGAAAUCAAUUCGACACAGAUUGAGAAACGCUGAUGUUGAGAUCAACACAGUUUUAUGUUGGGAAGAUGAAGGGAGUGGAUUAACCCGGUUUCAAUCUGAAAACAAACCGCAGGGAUUAUAUCAGGCUUCCAUCAGACCAAUGAUACACCCAAACUGUAUACGACCUAAGCGAAGAUGGGAAAACUAAUAAUACAACAUCCUAUUUUAUAUAACUAUACACAUAUUGGACACGAUGGAAAAUACCAGCUUCAUUCGAUUUAUGCUAAUUGCAUUGACGUCCGCUUCAUUACAGAAACUUAUUACGCUCUUCAAUCGAAAACCCAUCACCCUCCCAGGAGCGUACGCGAAGUUCGCUUCGAACCUUUUGAUCACAGACUCUCUCCGUAAAAUCAAUAAAACACUACAAUAACUUUUGAUGUAGAUGAAUUAUCCUUCCCUUCAAUAACAGAUCACAUUAACACACUACAAGGGCGACAGACAACCAGAAUCUUCACACGCAACCAUCACACCAAAUCCCUCUUUGUUUCUCCACCAACAGCUUCACUGUGCAAAAGACCUAAAAAUAAAAUCCCUUUCCCAGACAUACUGUCCUUUCUGGACACUAUAAACCCGAAAUUCCUUAAAAAUAAUGAUUAACUACUAUUAACACUCUGUACAAUUAAUUAAGAAUUUAUUUUUUUAUAUAACUAUUUCUAUUAACCGCUAAAAUGUAAUGGCUCAAAGAGCUUAAGCUCGCAAAAAGCCACAAAACUAACUAAUGUAAUAACUCUGUAACACCCUAAACAUAAUAAAAAGAAUUUAAAAUUGAA
This is an RNA transcript of Nicrophorus vespilloides, 2955 nucleotides long. It is a transcript of the gene named sodium- and chloride-dependent GABA transporter 2-like, with no coding region annotated. Lineage: Eukaryota; Metazoa; Arthropoda; Insecta; Coleoptera; Silphidae. The transcript is spliced from 7 exons. The record is from RefSeq and is a predicted model, not a curated record.